Molecule: unclassified non-coding RNA, 240 nt
Filed under: soil metagenome
Description: partial contains 5.8S ribosomal RNA, internal transcribed spacer 2, and large subunit ribosomal RNA
Source: RNAcentral
AACACUGUUAACCUGCGGUACCUGCGGAAGGAUCAUUACAGAGUUGCAAAACUCCCUAAACCAUUGUGAACGUUACCUAAACCGUUGCUUCGGCGGGCGGCCCGGGUCCUUCCCGGCGCCCCUCGGCCCUCGCGGGCGCCCGCCGGAGGUAAACCAAACUAUUGCAUUGUAUGGCCUCUCUGAGUCUUCUGUACUGAAUAAGUCAAAACUUUCAACAACGGAUCUCAGAUCGGAAGAGCA